CGAGACCACGGCCAGAUGAUGCCGAGUGGCGCUGACGCCUUUUCCCAGACGUUAUCCAUAUUUGCUCGAGUGACGGUGCAUCUGUUGUUCUUCUCAGAGUCAAAGUUUGACUCUGGUUCUUCUUGGAUGUGAUAUCGUUAACCGUCUAUCCCUAGUGCUCCGUGUUUAGUGUUCCAUUACAUUUCCAAAUAUCUACAUUACUGCACAUCAUUCGCUAAAAGAUGCUCCUUCGAAGGAUUCUUUGUGUCCUCAUCUCGUGGACGUUAAUGGGAGAAGUCACCGGAAAAGCACUUCCUACGGACACUGGCUUAACUCGAUCAGGAGAACCUGGCCCUAAAGACUUCCCCUCAAUAGGGACUGAGUUACUCAGUCCCGAACGCCCAAGUGGUCUGCCUCCUGUGGGCGCUGCGUUCAACGUCGAAUCGAGUGACUGCAUUAAAGCGUGUCAGACGAGGUCCCACGAUGGAAGUUGUGUUAUAGAUGACUCGUGCUGUUCUGAGACAUUCUCAGGAGAAACCUACCUGAAGUGUGUCAUUGGUUCAUGAACGGAUCUAUUGUUAGUAAUUUGCUUUAACAAGGUUUGUGCAGAUUUUUGCUGAGCCAGUUCAACUAUUGUCAUUUUCAUUUCACUUCUCGAUGUGGCAUCUCCUUUAAUUUGUACAAAGGUAUAGCCAGGUGUAAGAUAACCUUUAUUGAGAAAAAUAGUUUAAUAUUGGUUUUAUGAGAUAUAUUUAGUUAAAAAUCAAAGAGGCAACCAUAUGAUUAGGAAAUUAUAUUCUUCCAAGUAGCUUUUUUUCCUUAAUAUCUCAAACAUUGUUGGUCACGUUUUACUGUCAUCCAAAAGUCAAUUUCACAUAUAACCGAAUGGCAAGGAAAUAAAAGCAUUUCUGGAUGAAAGUCUAUGAUCUAUGGUUUGAAUCCGUUAUUUGUCUUAUUUCAAUAUGUCAAAAUUUAGUUUCAUCUAAUUUAACCGUUGGUCAUUUUCACUCUAAUAUUCUGCAGAGGAAGGCAAUUUUUUACUUCAAAAAUAAACUGUAUAAGUCUGUGAAGAUAGGUAAGAAAUGAAAGAGCACAAAGUUAA
Molecule: long non-coding RNA, 1081 nt
Organism: Macrobrachium nipponense
Lineage: Eukaryota; Metazoa; Arthropoda; Malacostraca; Decapoda; Palaemonidae
Exons: 3
Source: RefSeq, a predicted model, not a curated record